This 440-nucleotide ribosomal RNA is filed under the name uncultured bacterium. Its description in RNAcentral is "partial 16S ribosomal RNA". It matches the Rfam family "Bacterial small subunit ribosomal RNA", at positions 338 to 795 of the family's 1533-position model. The record is from RNAcentral.
CCUACGGGCGGCAGCAGUGGGGAAUAUUGCACAAUGGGGGAAACCCUGAUGCAGCGACGCCGCGUGAAGGAAGAAGUAUUUCGGUAUGUAAACUUCUAUCAGCAGGGAAGAAAAUGACGGUACCUGACUAAGAAGCCCCGGCUAACUACGUGCCAGCAGCCGCGGUAAUACGUAGGGGGCAAGCGUUAUCCGGAUUUACUGGGUGUAAAGGGAGCGUAGGCGGUGCAGCAAGUCAGAAGUGAAAGCCCGGGGCUCAACUCCGGGACUGCUUUUGAAACUGUUGAACUAGAGUGCAGGAGAGGUAAGUGGAAUUCCUAGUGUAGCGGUGAAAUGCGUAGAUAUUAGGAGGAACACCAGUGGCGAAGGCGGCUUACUGGACUGUAAAUGACGCUGAGGCUCGAAAGCGUGGGGAGCAAACAGGAUUAGAUACCCCUGUAGUC